GACGAACCGUACGAGCGUUGUUCGGAAUUACUGGGCGUAAAGGGCGCGUAGGCGGCCAUCUAAGUCAGACGUGAAAUCCCCCGGCUCAACCUGGGAACUGCGUCUGAUACUGGACGGCUUGAGUUUGGGAGAGGGAUGUAGAAUUCCAGGUGUAGCGGUGAAAUGCGUAGAUAUCUGGAGGAAUACCGGUGGCGAAGGCGGCAUCCUGGACCAAUACUGACGCUGAGGCGCGAAAGCUAGGGGAGCAAACGGG
Molecule: ribosomal RNA, 253 nt
Filed under: uncultured bacterium
Lineage: Bacteria
Description: partial 16S ribosomal RNA
Rfam family: Bacterial small subunit ribosomal RNA
Source: RNAcentral